Molecule: non-coding RNA, 148 nt
Filed under: Pan troglodytes (chimpanzee)
Lineage: Eukaryota; Metazoa; Chordata; Mammalia; Primates; Hominidae
Source: Rfam by way of RNAcentral
GCCAGGUGUGGUGGUGCACACCUGUAGUCCCAGCUACUGGGAGGCUGAGGCAGGAGAAUCACUUGAACCUGGGAGGCGGAGGUUGCAGUGAGCCGAGAUCACACCACUGCACUUCCAGCCUGGGUGACAGAGCAAGACUCUGUCUCAG